Molecule: long non-coding RNA, 3639 nt
Filed under: Sus scrofa (pig)
Lineage: Eukaryota; Metazoa; Chordata; Mammalia; Artiodactyla; Suidae
Description: lncRNA (ENSSSCG00025073008.1)
Source: RNAcentral
GGGGAAGACGAAAAGCUCUUGGUGAGGCUGGGCCUUUCUGGGGACGAUGCCGUCCGCAUUCUCAGUGAGCUCGUUCCCCGUCAGCAUCCCCGCCGUGAUCAUGCAGACAGACUGGACGGAGCCGUGGCUGGUCGGGCUGGUCAUCUUCCACGUACUCUGCCUGCUGCUCACCUGCUUCUCAUCCCGGAGGUAUAAGCUACAGGUCGGGCACUUCCUGUGUCUGGUGACGCUGGUCUACUGCGCCGAGUACAUCAAUGAGGUUGCGGCCAUGAACUGGAGGUGAGAACCAGCGCCCCGCCCGCCCGCCCGCACCCCAGGCUCCUUCCCGGCGGGGAGCUCAGCACCCCGUCUUCUCCGGCGCCCCCGACACGUCCUCGCUGUCCAGGACACCAGCGCACGCCUGUCUCCCUGGCCGCUCCCUCCUCGCCUCUGUGUCCUUCCUGCUGCAGCCUCUGCCGGGGUGACCCACUCCGUGUCCCGUGUCCCGUCCCCACGAAACGUCCGCCCUCCCCGCCCCACCCCCUGCAAACUGUCCCCAGCUGCCUGCUCUGUGGGGGCAGCUGCUUCUCCUGGCCUCUUAGGGCAGAGACCCCGCAGUCAGGCAGGGGUCCUCGGGGACGGCGGAGGGGGGCUUUGAAACCAUCAUUGAGGGGAGCACCCCCCCCCCAGGUCUCCUGACUGCCUCCUUAGGAGCGUCUGACCCCAGGGGUCACGGAGCAGAGUUCUGGCCCCUGGCGCUCAGCCCCCCGGCUGCAGGCCCCUACUGGGGGGUCGGGGGCCCUCCCUCCUCCACAGGCAGACCCCUCCCUCCCCCCCAACGAUUUCCUCGGAGCCCCAGCCUCCCAGGCUGCCUUGGACCCGAUAGGCAGCACCUGUUCCCUGUGACCCCCGAGCCCUGGCGGAGCGGGAGAAGGUCAUAUCCUCGACUGGGUCACUGGCUGGUGACGUGAGGCCUGUGUCCUGCCCCCGCCCGGCCACACGGGUCCCCCGCGCCUGCUCCCCCGCCUGCUCCCCCGCCUGCUCCGGGGCGGGGGCCUGAGCUCGCAGAGGCGGCCACCCACCCUGUCCUGCUUCCCAGGAAGGCCUGCAGAGCCUGCCCUACAGGGUUGAGGAGGCCGCCGGCUCGCGCAGCGGUCUCUGCCCCCACCUCGCCUUCCUGUGUGGAGGUGCCUGCCGGUCCCUGCAUGUCCUCUGUCCCCAGGUGCCUGUGGCCUCGGGCCUGGGUCCUGGUGGGAGGACCCGCCUCGCUGAGGGGCGACGCCGUGAGCAGGGGCCGUCGCAAGGGCCGCUGGGCUGCGCCAGGUAACCGCCAGACCCUUCUGCGCGCAGGUCCUUCUCAAAGUACCAGUAUUUCGACUCGAGGGGGAUGUUCGUGUCCCUGGUCUUCUCGGCACCGCUGCUGCUCAACGCCCUGGCCAUCGUGAUCCUGUGGGUGCGCAAGACGCUGGCGGUGAUGAGCGACCUGAGGACCUUACAGCAGCGCCGGGGGCGGCCGAAGCAGCAGUGACGGCUCUGCCCCCGGCUGGCGCCUGGGCAUCCAGACCCGCCCCGCGUCCCGAGACGCUUGGGCUGGCUUUGAAGGGCGCUCGCCCGGCCUGGGUCCACCCAGAAGGUCUGAGUCUCCCUAGUUAAACUGUAAACGGAGCCCCUGCAGUCAAGCCUGAGCUCGGGACACCCUGUCUGUCCAUGUGGGAGGGUUGAGGGGUGGACAGCGCCAUCCACGCGUGGGCACCCCCAUUGGCCCCUGUCACCCCCACCCUCCCCGUCAGCCCCCUGUCACCUCUAUCACUCCCCCAUCACCCCUGUCACCCCCAUGCUCCCCGUCAGCCCCCUGUCACGGUCACCCCUGUCACCCCUGUCACUGCCAUCACCCUGGUCUGGCCUUCGUGGCGACGGCCUCUCCAGGCAGGGCUGCCGCUGGACAGGGCAGGAGGGGCCGCCUGGCCUCUGUGCAGUUGGAGGCGUCACGGCGCCGGCGGAGGCCGGAGUCGGGAUCUUCAGAGGCGGCAGCCGCGCGAGCCCCUUGAGUUGUGCUUCAGGAAGGAACGUCGCCAUUAAAACAGUCAGCAGCUGCCUGGUUCAACUAAGAGGUUUUAUGGCAAAUACCGAGACGGGUUCUGUCCCUUGGUUCCUGCCUCUUACAUUCUGCUCGGGGACAUGCCACCGCCUCUUCUGUUGGAGCAGGUGCGCUGAUUCGGUGUCACGGCCGCGCUGCGGACUAGACCUGCAGCUGGAGGGUGGGGGCCGCAUGUCUAAACUCAGCGUUUGAGAAAGAGGAGGCGGUUGGCUCCUGAUGGGGUUUGAAAAAAUAGCUUGCGAGCCUUCCUGCUGUGACUCAAAGGGAUCAGCGGCAUCUCUGCAGCGCUGGGCGCGGGUUUGAUCCCUGGCCGGGUGCAGUGGGUUAAGGCUCUGACAGGGCUGCAGCUGCAGUGUAGGUCACGCUGGGACGUGGCUCUGAUCCUGGCCCAGGAAAGCCAUGUGCCAUGGGGUGGCCUGAAAAAAAGAGAGGAAGUAGUUUAUGAAUAGUUGUCUUAAUUUUAAGAAGAUGUUUUCCCUUAAAUGAAGUAUAUUUUUCAAAUUUCAAAAGAAAAAAAAUUGGUCACGUGAAAGCAUUAUAUUUAGUGGUUCAGAGGGUAACACUGCUGGAUGAUGGGAUUAAAUCUUGAAAUCCAGACGUAAAGACAGCUGUAAACUCUUAGCAGAGAAAUUAUUUCCUUAAUUUUGACGUUGGUUUUAGAACCGAGUCGAUAGAACUUCCUAGAUCAAUCUCUUGGAGCUUUUAACCUCACAUCCUUUCUUGAUGUGAACGUCUGUACUGAACAUUGAAAAAAUUGACUCAGCAACAGCAUGUCACGUGAAAUCCAGUUUUAGAUGUCUUGCACCUGAUGACAUCCUGAGGGUGCGUUGCUGAAAGUGACCAGUUCAGGGUGUUCCUUGGUGUCCUGGCUUCAGAAGAGUCGCCUGCAUCUGAGCAGCUCCCGGGAGCCCACAGCGGCAGGGGCUGCGGGCGGGGUCGAGUGUCCCCUCCAGCGCCGGCCUGGGGCCAGGGGACAGAAGUGCCCGUGGCAACGUCCUGCCCUUGCCCUCGGCCCCUCGGAGCCCAGGGAGUGCAGGCAUUUCCACCAUCCGGAGCCACUCCUGUCAGCGCGAGACUGUGACUGGCUCUCAGCUGUCCUGUGAAGACCGGGUAAUGACAUCGUCAUUGGCCUGGAUGUGGGGUCAGACGUCCCGUCGAAAAACACGACGUAGGGCCUUUUUGUUCACUGGUGUGUGUAAGUUUUGGGGAAUCGUUGUGUUUUAUUUUCACAAACACAACCUGUUUUUAAAACUUUUAGUAGGUUUCUCUCCAGUGGCUUAAAGGGCAGUGUUUACGAACACCAGGCGUCCUCAUGCUUGGGACACACUCCAAGCCGUCGCUGUCCCAGCACUUCAGGUCACCUCAAGUGUGGGGACUGUGGCCCUUUCGGGGCAUGGGGGUGCUGCUGGGGCUUGGGGCCUCCAGGCGGGUGGAAGGGCAGCCUGUGUCUGUCAUCUGCGGACGAGAAGACGAGAGACACGCGUGGUCAAGGCGCAUUUAGCCCGUUCCAGACCUGCGACCUUCAGUUUGUCAGUUGCUGUGUAAUAAAGUCUUAUUUUAUU